This 1041-nucleotide ribosomal RNA is filed under the name uncultured bacterium. RNAcentral describes it as "bacterial SSU rRNA". It matches the Rfam family "Bacterial small subunit ribosomal RNA", at positions 94 to 1139 of the family's 1533-position model. The record is from RNAcentral.
CACGGCGCACGGGUGAGUAACACGUGGGUAACCUGCCCUUCGGUGGGGAAUAACCCCGCGAAAGCGGGGCUAAUUCCGCAUAACAUUCCGGGGACACAUGUCCUCGGACUCAAAGGAGUGAUUCGCCGGAGGAGGGGCCCGCGCCCGAUUAGCUUGUUGGUAGGGUAACGGCCUACCAAGGCUUUGAUCGGUAGCCGGUCUGGGAGGAUGGCCGGCCACACUGGAACUGAGACACGGUCCAGACUCCUACGGGAGGCAGCAGUGGGGAAUCUUGCGCAAUGGGCGAAAGCCUGACGCAGCGACGCCGCGUGGGGGAUGAAGCUUCUCGGAGUGUAAACCCCUUUCGACCCGGACGAAUGGCCCGCAAGGGACUUGACGGUACGGGUAGAAGAAGCCCCGGCUAACUACGUGCCAGCAGCCGCGGUAAGACGUGGGGGGCCAGCGUUGCUCGGAAUUACUGGGCGUAAAGGGUCCGUAGGCGGUGCGGCAAGUCGGGGGUGAAAUCUCUGGGCUUAACCCAGAGGCUGCCUCCGAAACUGCCGUGCUCGAGUGCGGGAGAGGCGAGCGGAAUUGCAGGUGUAGCGGUGAAAUGCGUAGAUAUCUGCAGGAACACCCGUGGCGAGGGCGGCUCGCUGGACCGUGACUGACGCUGAGGGACGAAAGCUAGGGGAGCAAACAGGAUUAGAUACCCUGGUAGUCCUAGCCCUAAACGAUCAGGACUUGGGGUGGCCCGCGUCCGCGGGUCGUCCCGGAGCUAACGCGAUAAGUCCUGCGCCUGGGGAGUACGGUCGCAAGACUGAAACUCAAAGGAAUUGACGGGGGCCCGCACAAGCGGUGGAACAUGUGGUUCAAUUCGACGCUACGCGAGGAACCUUACCUGGGCUCGAAAUGCUUCUGACCAGCUGUGGAAACACGGCCUUCCCGCAAGGGACAGGAGUAUAGGCGCUGCAUGGCCGUCGUCAGCUCGUGCCGUGAGGUGUUGGGUUAAGUCCCGCAACGAGCGCAACCCCUGCACGUAGUUACUACCCGCAAGGGAGGACU